This 483-nucleotide ribosomal RNA is filed under the name uncultured bacterium. Its description in RNAcentral is "partial 16S ribosomal RNA". It matches the Rfam family "Bacterial small subunit ribosomal RNA", at positions 30 to 506 of the family's 1533-position model. The record is from RNAcentral.
AUUGAACGCUGGCGGCAGGCCUAACACAUGCAAGUCGAGCGGAUGAAGGGAGCUUGCUCCUGGAUUCAGCGGCGGACGGGUGAGUAAUGCCUAGGAAUCUGCCUGGUAGUGGGGGAUAACGUCCGGAAACGGGCGCUAAUACCGCAUACGUCCUGAGGGAGAAAGUGGGGGAUCUUCGGACCUCACGCUAUCAGAUGAGCCUAGGUCGGAUUAGCUAGUUGGUGGGGUAAAGGCCUACCAAGGCGACGAUCCGUAACUGGUCUGAGAGGAUGAUCAGUCACACUGAAAUUGAGAACCGGCCCCACUCCCUAGGGGGGGAAGCGGGGGGAAAAUUUGGCAAAGGGGCGAAAGCCUAACCCAGCCAUGCCGGGUGUGUAAAAAAGGUUUUCGGUUUGUAAAGCACUUUAGGUUGGGGGGAAGGGCAGAAAUUUAAACCCUUGCUGUUUUAACUUUACCAACAAAAAAAGCACCGGCAAACUUCGU